RNAcentral lists this ribosomal RNA (448 nucleotides) under uncultured bacterium. Its description in RNAcentral is "bacterial SSU rRNA". It matches the Rfam family "Bacterial small subunit ribosomal RNA", at positions 331 to 794 of the family's 1533-position model. The record is from RNAcentral.
CCAGACUCCUACGGGAGGCAGCAGUGGGGAAUAUUGCACAAUGGGGGAAACCCUGAUGCAGCAACGCCGCGUGAAGGAAGACGGUUUUCGGAUUGUAAACUUCUAUCAAUAGGGAAGAAAGGAAUGACGGUACCUAAAUAAGAAGCCCCGGCUAACUACGUGCCAGCAGCCGCGGUAAUACGGAGGAUGCGAGCGUUAUCCGGAUUUAUUGGGUUUAAAGGGUGCGUAGGCGGACGCUUAAGUCAGCGGUAAAAUUGCGGGGCUCAACCUCGUCGAGCCGUUGAAACUGGGUGCCUUGAGUGGGCGAGAAGUACGCGGAAUGCGUGGUGUAGCGGUGAAAUGCAUAGAUAUCACGCAGAACUCCGAUUGCGAAGGCAGCGUACCGGCGCCCAACUGACGCUGAAGCACGAAGGCGUGGGUAUCGAACAGGAUUAGAUACCCGCGUAGU